Quercus robur (English oak) is the source of this 143-nucleotide long non-coding RNA. RefSeq lists it as uncharacterized. NCBI's taxonomy places the organism in Eukaryota, Viridiplantae, Streptophyta, Magnoliopsida, Fagales, Fagaceae. The record is from RefSeq and is a predicted model, not a curated record. The transcript has 2 exons.
CCAUCCAACAUUUCAAAUAAAUCCAAGAAGGACCAUGUAAAAUAACCUCUUGUAUUUGAUCCAUUCCUUCCAAGAUUUUAAGAGUAUGAGAGAAAAGUAAUCACAUCAAAUUUUAGUAACUAUGUAUCAAUUAAAAAGAAACA